UAGGGAAUCUUCGGCAAUGGACGAAAGUCUGACCGAGCAACGCCGCGUGAGUGAAGAAGGUUUUCGGAUCGUAAAACUCUGUUGGUAGAGAAGAACGUUGGUGGGAGUGGAAAGCUCAUCAAGUGACGGUAACUACCCAGAAAGGGACGGCUAACUACGUGCCAGCAGCCGCGGUAAUACGUAGGUCCCGAGCGUUGUCCGGAUUUAUUGGGCGUAAAGCGAGCGCAGGUGGUUUAUUAAGUCUGGUGUAAAAGGCAGUGGCUCAACCAUUGUAUGCAUUGGAAACUGGUAGACUUGAGUGCAGGAGAGGAGAGUGGAAUUCCAUGUGUAGCGGUGAAAUGCGUAGAUAUAUGGAGGAACACCGGUGGCGA
RNAcentral lists this ribosomal RNA (371 nucleotides) under uncultured bacterium. RNAcentral describes it as "partial 16S ribosomal RNA". It matches the Rfam family "Bacterial small subunit ribosomal RNA", at positions 355 to 718 of the family's 1533-position model. The record is from RNAcentral.